RNAcentral lists this ribosomal RNA (371 nucleotides) under uncultured organism. RNAcentral's name for it is "bacterial SSU rRNA". It matches the Rfam family "Bacterial small subunit ribosomal RNA", at positions 527 to 896 of the family's 1533-position model. The record is from RNAcentral.
CGAGGGUGCGAGCGUUGUCCGGAAUCACUGGGCGUAAAGGGCGCGUAGGUGGCCCGGUCAGUCCGUGGUGAAAGCGCGGGGCUCAACCCCGCGUCGGCCAGGGAUACUGCGGGGCUGGAGCACUGUAGAGGCAGGCGGAAUUCCGGGUGUAGCGGUGGAAUGCGUAGAGAUCCGGAAGAACACCGGUGGCGAAGGCGGCCUGCUGGGCAGUGGCUGACACUGAGGCGCGACAGCGUGGGGAGCAAACAGGAUUAGAUACCCUGGUAGUCCACGCCGUAAACGAUGGGCACUAGGCGCUUGGGGGAGCGACCCCCCGAGGGCCGGCGCUGACGCAUUAAGUGCCCCGCCUGGGGAGUACGGCCGCAAGGCUG